This 253-nucleotide ribosomal RNA is filed under the name uncultured bacterium. RNAcentral's name for it is "partial 16S ribosomal RNA". It matches the Rfam family "Bacterial small subunit ribosomal RNA", at positions 524 to 776 of the family's 1533-position model. The record is from RNAcentral.
UACGGAGGGGGCUAGCGUUGUUCGGAAUUACUGGGCGUAAAGCGCACGUAGGCGGCUUUGUAAGUUAGAGGUGAAAGCCCGGGGCUCAACCCCGGAAUUGCCUUUAAGACUGCAUCGCUUGAACACGGGAGAGGUGAGUGGAAUUCCGAGUGUAGAGGUGAAAUUCGUAGAUAUCAAGCGGAACACCGGUGGCGAAGGCGGCCUUCUGGACAGUGACUGACGCUGAGACGCGAAAGCGUGGGGAGCAAACAGG